UUUGUACUAAACAUAAUAGCUAAUAACUAACUUAAAACCUUAAGUGGAUUUUAUGAAAUUUUUAGAAAUUAUUUAUUUAUUGUUAGCUAUCUACGAGGGUGGUUCCAUUUUGGAUUUUUCACAGCUCUUAUAAUUGGGUUAAAAUUUAUCAAUAUUUUCUUUAUAUUUAUAAUAAAAAUAUUCUUAAAUCUAUUUAUGUACAGUAAAAAAUUUAUUUUUGUUAAUUAAAUUAAUAUUAUUGGACACAAAAAGUAAAAUUAUACUCUUUGUAAUGUAGUUAAUGAUGUCAAAUGCAUGUGGUUAAUGGACGUCUCAGUCAAGUGAUAAAGGAUUGAAAGGCACUAUCUAAAAGUAAAAGUAAAUGUCAGAUUCAAAUUUUAUUAAAUAUAAUUCAUUUUCAGUGCCCUUUAAUAUUUUUUUAAAAAAUAUGAUUAAGUAUUUUAUAAUAUAAUAAAUUAAUAAUACAAUUUUUAAUUAAAAUUUCUUGAUGAAAAAUCCUACAUGUAAUAUGAAACAUAUAUAUUUAUGUAUAUAUUAAUUGCAAG
Molecule: unclassified non-coding RNA, 545 nt
Filed under: Hevea brasiliensis (rubber tree)
Lineage: Eukaryota; Viridiplantae; Streptophyta; Magnoliopsida; Malpighiales; Euphorbiaceae
Source: RNAcentral